UACGGGAGGCAGCAGUGGGGAAUAUUGCACAAUGGGCGCAAGCCUGAUGCAGCCACGCCGCGUGUAUGAAAAAGGCCUUCGGGUUGUAAAGUACUUUCAGUCGUGAGGAAGGUGUUAAGGUUAAUAACCUUAGCAAUUGACGUUAGCGACAGAAGAAGCACCGGCUAACUCCGUGCCAGCAGCCGCGGUAAUACGGAGGGUGCGAGCGUUAAUCGGAAUUACUGGGCGUAAAGGGCACGCAGGCGGUUAAUUAAGUUGGAUGUGAAAUCCCCGGGCUUAACCUGGGAAUGGCAUUCAAGACUGGUUAGCUAGAGUCUUGUAGAGGGGGUAGAAUUCCAUGUGUAGCGGUGAAAUGCGUAGAGAUGUGGAGGAAUACCGGUGGCGAAGGCGGCCCCUGGACAAAGACUGACGCUCAUGUGCGAAAGCGUGGGGAGCAAACAGGGAUUAGAUACC
This 453-nucleotide ribosomal RNA is filed under the name uncultured bacterium. Its description in RNAcentral is "bacterial SSU rRNA". It matches the Rfam family "Bacterial small subunit ribosomal RNA", at positions 340 to 786 of the family's 1533-position model. The record is from RNAcentral.